GUAGCACCUUAGAGACCAACUAAGUUUGUUCUGGGUAUAAGAUUUCGUGUGCAUGCACACUUCUUCAGAUACACAUGCACAUGAAAACAUAUACCCAGAACAAACUUAGUUUGUCUCUAAGGUGCUAC
RNAcentral lists this microRNA precursor (128 nucleotides) under Podarcis lilfordi (Lilford's wall lizard). Lineage: Eukaryota; Metazoa; Chordata; Lepidosauria; Squamata; Lacertidae. The record is from RNAcentral.